GGUUCCGUGGUGUAAUGGUUAGCACUCUGGACUUUGAAUCCAGUGAUCUGAGUUCAAGUCUCAGCGGAACGUUGACCA
Molecule: non-coding RNA, 78 nt
Organism: Syngnathus typhle (broad-nosed pipefish)
Lineage: Eukaryota; Metazoa; Chordata; Actinopteri; Syngnathiformes; Syngnathidae
Source: the annotation of a RefSeq genome assembly